RNAcentral lists this ribosomal RNA (505 nucleotides) under uncultured bacterium. RNAcentral describes it as "partial 16S ribosomal RNA". It matches the Rfam family "Bacterial small subunit ribosomal RNA", at positions 28 to 507 of the family's 1533-position model. The record is from RNAcentral.
GACGAACGCUGGCGGCGUGCCUAAUACAUGCAAGUAGAACGCACAGUUUAUACCGUAGCUUGCUACACCAUAGACUGUGAGUUGCGAACGGGUGAGUAACGCGUAGGUAACCUGCCUGGUAGCGGGGGAUAACUAUUGGAAACGAUAGCUAAUACCGCAUAAUAUUGAUUAUUGCAUGAUAAUUGAUUGAAAGAUGCUAUUGCAUCACUACCAGAUGGACCUGCGUUGUAUUAGCUAGUAGGUGAGGUAACGGCUCACCUAGGCGACGAUACAUAGCCGACCUGAGAGGGUGAUCGGCCACACUGGGACUGAGACACGGCCCAGACUCCUACGGGAGGCAGCAGUAGGGAAUUUUCGGCAAUGGACGAAAGUCUGACCGAGCAACGCCGCGUGAGUGAAGAAGGUUUUCGGAUCGUAAAGCUCUGUUGUAAGAGAAGAACGGGUGUGAGAGUGGAAAGUUCACACUGUGACGGUAUCUUACCAGAAAGGGACGGCUAACUACGUG